CUUCUUCUUCUUCUUCUCCUUCUCGUUUGUCCCUCGCCAACCUGACAACACCCUGGAACCCUUACAACCUCGAUUGUCACAUUGCCACACCCACCCAUUGCGACCACGCUCUACCUCUUGUCUUGCCUGCAGCCCUCCGCGACUUCAACGACAACCUCACCUGCUAUAGGCUGUCAAAUCCGAGUCCAUCAUUGCAGCAAGUCAGCAACGCAGCCCAUCCAAGAUGCAUGUUUGGUUUAGAUAUUUAUUUUAUUUUAGUUUCGAUUUGUCAUUUUAGGUUUUGGGUUUUUUGAAUUGAACUUUUUGUUGCUAAUAUUUUGUAAUUGUAGAUCUAAAUUUUUGUUAUUAUUUUUUUAGUUGUACAUAUGCUAUUUUGAAAUUUCUUCUUGUUCUUGAA
RNAcentral lists this unclassified non-coding RNA (397 nucleotides) under Hevea brasiliensis (rubber tree). The record is from RNAcentral. Lineage: Eukaryota; Viridiplantae; Streptophyta; Magnoliopsida; Malpighiales; Euphorbiaceae.